AGCAGUCGCCGCGGGAAUACCGAGGGUGCAAGCGUUAAUCGGAAUUACUGGGCGUAAAGCGCGCGUAGGUGGUUUGUUAAGUUGGAUGUGAAAUCCCCGGGCUCAACCUGGGAACUGCAUCCAAAACUGGCAAGCUAGAGUAUGGUAGAGGGUGGUGGAAUUUCCUGUGUAGCGGUGAAAUGCGUAGAUAUAGGAAGGAACACCAGUGGCGAAGGCGACCACCUGGACUGAUACUGACACUGAGGUGCGAAAGCGUGGGGAGCAAACAGGAUUAGAUACCCGCGUAGUCCCUGUCUCUUAUAC
This 303-nucleotide ribosomal RNA is filed under the name uncultured bacterium. RNAcentral's name for it is "partial 16S ribosomal RNA". It matches the Rfam family "Bacterial small subunit ribosomal RNA", at positions 507 to 807 of the family's 1533-position model. The record is from RNAcentral.